AACGAACGCUGGCGGCGCGCCUAAUACAUGCAAGUCGAGCGAGAAGACGUAGCAAUACGUUUGUAAAGCGGCGAACGGGUGAGGAAUACAUGGGUAACCUACCCUCGAGUGGGGAAUAACUAGCCGAAAGGUUAGCUAAUACCGCGUACGCUCCUUGGACUUCGGUUCAGGGAGGAAAGCGAUACCGUGGGUAUCGCGCUCUUGGAUGGGCUCAUGUCCUAUCAGCUUGUUGGUGAGGUAACGGCUCACCAAGGCUUCGACGGGUAGCUGGUCUGAGAGGACGAUCAGCCACACUGGCACUGCGACACGGGCCAGACUCCUACGGGAGGCAGCAGUAAGGAAUAUUGCGCAAUGGGCGAAAGCCUGACGCAGCGACGCCGCGUGA
Molecule: ribosomal RNA, 385 nt
Filed under: uncultured bacterium
Lineage: Bacteria
Description: bacterial SSU rRNA
Rfam family: Bacterial small subunit ribosomal RNA
Source: RNAcentral